AAACCGCAGUUCGCCGCCGCCGCCGCCGGGCACCCAGCCCCAGGGGGGCGGGCUGGAGGGAGGGGGCGGGCGCUGGCCGGGGGACCCCCGCAACCAUGGCGGGCGGGGAGUGGGCUGCCGAGCCGCUUCACCUGCCGCAGAGGGGGCGGCCGGCGCCGCUUCACCUGCCGGAGCGGGAGGCCACCGAGGCGAGGCCGAGGCGGCGGCGCGCUCGGCGGCGCCUCCGGGUCCUAGAACCGCAUCCUCCCGCUCGCCUCGGGCGAGGGAUUGGCCGGGUCUGGGUGAAGGGGAUCACGGCCUGGGGAUUGGAGGGGCACAUCUUCUCCGCACCGAGGAUCUCAGCGACUGCGAGCACGGCUCGGAGACCCACGGUGGUGCAGCGUUGGGGCGCCAGGGCUGCGUUCCCGUCUCGCGUCCCGGACUGAGAAGAGCCACUGACAAGACUUUAAGCAAGAGACGGAGAGUUAACAUCUAAUCUGGAGGAAGACCCUGGAAGGAGCCAGCCCCUUCCCCCAGGCUGACCUGGUUUAAGCCUUUCUUCUGCCAAGGUCACCAGCACCCCAGAUGGGUGAGAGAUGUGAUCACUGGUUUCGUGGCCUGACCAAGGACCUCCAAGAUUCUGUGGCAGAUGAGAAAUGCCUUGGUCCUUGGGCUGCUUGCAGCCUAGCGAGGGACAGACUUUUAACCUCUCUAGGAGAGUGGCUGCUUCAAGUCAUCCUAUGGGACCAGCUGUUCAUGCUUCCUCUUGCCCAGAACUACUUCUGUGAGAGGAAAAGAGAAGGGUAGGAGCGUGCCCUGCAGCUGGAAACCCAAGCCAGGCGGGGAGCCACGAAUGCAGUAGUUAUCAGACUGUAUCUUCAAUCCUGGGGGCUUCUCAAGCCAUUGCCAGCCACUCUUCACCCAAGGCCUGGUGGAAUAAAGCUGGGCUAAGUAACACCUCUUCUGUGGAAAAUUAUUGUUUCUGCAAGCCUAUAUUCAUUCUCCCUCUCUC
This 991-nucleotide long non-coding RNA is filed under the name Homo sapiens (human). RNAcentral describes it as "non-protein coding lnc-SPATA32-2:9". Lineage: Eukaryota; Metazoa; Chordata; Mammalia; Primates; Hominidae. The record is from RNAcentral.